This 253-nucleotide ribosomal RNA is filed under the name uncultured bacterium. RNAcentral describes it as "partial 16S ribosomal RNA". It matches the Rfam family "Bacterial small subunit ribosomal RNA", at positions 524 to 776 of the family's 1533-position model. The record is from RNAcentral.
UACGUUGGGCGCAAGCGUUAUCCGGAAUUAUUGGGCGUAAAGAGCUCGUAGGCGGUUUGUCGCGUCUGCCGUGAAAGUCCGGGGCUCAACUCCGGAUCUGCGGUGGGUACGGGCAGACUAGAGUGAUGUAGGGGAGACUGGAAUUCCUGGUGUAGCGGUGAAAUGCGCAGAUAUCAGGAGGAACACCGAUGGCGAAGGCAGGUCUCUGGGCCAUAACUGACGCUGAGAAGCGAAAGCAUGGGGAGCGAACAGG